RNAcentral lists this ribosomal RNA (422 nucleotides) under uncultured Microterricola sp. RNAcentral's name for it is "bacterial SSU rRNA". It matches the Rfam family "Bacterial small subunit ribosomal RNA", at positions 444 to 876 of the family's 1533-position model. Lineage: Bacteria; Bacillati; Actinomycetota; Actinomycetes; Micrococcales; Microbacteriaceae. The record is from RNAcentral.
GAAGAAGCGAAAGUGACGGUACCUGCAGAAAAAGCACCGGCUAACUACGUGCCAGCAGCCGCGGUAAUACGUAGGGUGCAAGCGUUGUCCGGAAUUAUUGGGCGUAAAGAGCUCGUAGGCGGUUUGUCGCGUCUGCUGUGAAAUCUGGGGGCUCAACCCCCAGCCUGCAGUGGGUACGGGCAGACUAGAGUGCGGUAGGGGAGAUUGGAAUUCCUGGUGUAGCGGUGGAAUGCGCAGAUAUCAGGAGGAACACCGAUGGCGAAGGCAGAUCUCUGGGCCGUAACUGACGCUGAGGAGCGAAAGCGUGGGGAGCGAACAGGAUUAGAUACCCUGGUAGUCCACGCCGUAAACGUUGGGAACUAGAUGUGGGGACCAUUCCACGGUCUCCGUGUCGCAGCUAACGCAUUAAGUUCCCCGCCUGG